GGUCAAUCUAAGUUUACAACCAAACGACUCCCUCUGGCUAACCAGGCCCCUACACUUUGUAUGGACUAAGAAGGUGGCAGCGCGCCCAGAGCUUGAUUUCCCAGGCUCCCUUGAAGUGAGCAGUGGCUCCAUGACAAUUUCUGAUGAACAAGGAGUGAGCAGAGGGGAGAGCAAUAAGCCCUGAGCUCAGAGGAAUGAUGGGGGCUGUUUGGUUUUUGGUCUUCUUCUUCGGUACCAGAACUCUCUCCUUAAAAGAAUGAUCUUCUUAAUUUCCUUCUUUUC
Molecule: long non-coding RNA, 282 nt
Organism: Lontra canadensis (Northern American river otter)
Lineage: Eukaryota; Metazoa; Chordata; Mammalia; Carnivora; Mustelidae
Exons: 3
Source: RefSeq, a predicted model, not a curated record